GAUGAACGCUAGCUACAGGCUUAACACAUGCAAGUCGAGGGGAAACGACAUCGAAAGCUUGCUUUUGAUGGGCGUCGACCGGCGCACGGGUGAGUAACGCGUAUCCAACCUGCCCAUCACUUGGGAAUAACCCUGCGAAAGUAAGACUAAUACCCAAUGACAUCCCACGAAGACAUCUGAAUGGGAUUAAAGAUUUAUCGGUGAUGGAUGGGGAUGCGUCUGAUUAGCUUGUUGGCGGGGUAACGGCCCACCAAGGCAACGAUCAGUAGGGGUUCUGAGAGGAAGGUCCCCCACAUUGGAACUGAGACACGGUCCAAACUCCUACGGGAGGCAGCAGUGAGGAAUAUUGGUCAAUGGGCGAGAGCCUGAACCAGCCAAGUAGCGUGCAGGAUGACGGCCCUAUGGGUUGUAAACUGCUUUUAUAAGGGAAUAAAGUGGGUCUCGUGAGACUUUUUGCAUGUACCUUAUGAAUAAGGACCGGCUAAUUCCGUG
This 492-nucleotide ribosomal RNA is filed under the name uncultured bacterium. RNAcentral's name for it is "partial 16S ribosomal RNA". It matches the Rfam family "Bacterial small subunit ribosomal RNA", at positions 28 to 507 of the family's 1533-position model. The record is from RNAcentral.